UGUGUGGUGGUAUGUAUAUAGUACUGUAUGUGUGGUGGUAUGUAUAUAGUACUGUAUGUGUGGUGGUAUGUAUACUGUACUAUAUGUGUGGUGGUAUGUAUACUGUACUGUAUGUGUGGUGGUAUGUAUACUGUACUGUAUGUGUGGUGGUAUGUAUACUGUACUGUAUGUGUGGUGGUAUGUAUAUAGUACUGUAUGUGUGGUGGUAUGUAUACAGUACUGUACUGUAUGUGUGGCGGUAUGUAUACAGUACUGUACUGUAUGUGUGGUGGUAUGUAUACUGUACUGUAUGUGUGGAGGUAUGUAUACUGUACUAUAUGUGUGGUGGUAUGUAUACUGUACUAUAUGUGUGGUGGUAUGUAUACAGUACUGUAUGUGUGGAGGUAUGUAUACAGUACUGUA
Molecule: long non-coding RNA, 402 nt
Organism: Oncorhynchus tshawytscha (Chinook salmon)
Lineage: Eukaryota; Metazoa; Chordata; Actinopteri; Salmoniformes; Salmonidae
Source: Ensembl